Seriola dumerili (greater amberjack) is the source of this 352-nucleotide long non-coding RNA. RefSeq lists it as uncharacterized. The transcript is spliced from 3 exons. Lineage: Eukaryota; Metazoa; Chordata; Actinopteri; Carangiformes; Carangidae. The record is from RefSeq and is a predicted model, not a curated record.
UCUGGGGUGUACAGCAGCUCUGUUGCUCCUGUGGUGUCCCAGGGCUCCAGCUCCUUCUCCCACAGCGCUGCAGCUACAACAACUGCUCCAUACAGUACUGAUGCCUCCACUGACUACAGCCAGUACAACCAGGCCUACACACAGGAAGCCAUGCAGCAGUGGUACCAGCACUACCAAGCAGCACAAGCUCAUACCUACAAUGCUGCUGCUCCACAGGACAACACAGCCACAGACUACAGCAAGGAGCACACACAGGCUCCACCAGUGUCAACCUACGGGGAUUACAGUUCCUACAUGCAGGCGGUCACUCAGUACUACUCCCAACCUGCAACAGCCAACCAGGCCUACGCCA